Long non-coding RNA from Odocoileus virginianus texanus, 3396 nucleotides. RefSeq lists it as uncharacterized. The record is from RefSeq and is a predicted model, not a curated record. NCBI's taxonomy places the organism in Eukaryota, Metazoa, Chordata, Mammalia, Artiodactyla, Cervidae.
UUCCUCAAAAUAUUAAACACAGAGUCACCACGUAACCCAGAAAUCCCACUCCUGAACGCCAAGAGACUCGACAACAGGUGUUCAAAUAAAAACUUGUGCAGGAAUGUUCGCAGGAGCAGUGUUCCCAACAGAACACGGAGACCAGUGUCCAUUAUAAAUGAGUAAAUAAAGUGUGGCCUAUCCUUACAGUGGAAUAUUAUUCAGCAAUAAAAAACUAAGUACUGAUACGUGUUACAGUGUGGAAGAGCCUGGGAAACACUGAGCUAAGUGAAAGAGAUCAGUCAGAGAAGACCCACAUAUUAUGACUCCGCUUAUAUGAGAGGUCUGGACUAAGCAGAUUCAGAGAGACAGGAAGCAGGUCAGCGGUUGACCAGGACCGAGGAGCGGGGCUGUGUGGUGGGAAGAAAUGGGAAGUGACUGCUCUUGGGUUUCUUUCUGGGGUAAUGGAAUGUUCUAACAUUAGAUUGUGGUGAUUGUGAUGUACAGCCCAGUACAUAUAUCUUAAAAUACUUAAUUAUACACUUGGAAUGGGUGCAUCGUACGGUAUGUGAGUCUCCAGAAGGCUUUUUAAAGUGAACAUAGCGGCUCUCCCUGGGUGCUGAGCUUUUUUGCUUUUUAUCUUUUUGCUCACCUGUGUCUUCUACAGUGAACAAGUGUUUCUAGUUGUCAGAAGAAGGGAAGUUAUUAGUUUAAACAGCUUGUCUUGGCAAGGUAACGUCUUAGAAUUAAGUGUAGAAGUUUGUGGGUUUAAGACCAGUAACUGCAGAGGAAACUGCUCCUUUCUCCCCGACCAUUUCCUGCAUCUCAUCAGCCUCUACUGUAAAGUAGAGGAUGGUUUUUCUUUUUUUUUUUUUUUCCAUCAAAUAAUGAAAUCUGGUGGGUGUUCUUACUUUUUUCAUCUUGUGUGGUGAUUCAUUCUGGCUGAACGCCUUUCCAUUUUUGAUUUUUCAUUGUUUGCUGCAGCCCGAGAACCUCUGUGCUUUAAGAUCUUAGUUUGGAUGGGAAUGCAUUCAUUGUGGUUUCACAAAUUGGGUUUAAGACUUUAAUCCACUUCAGCACAUCCUUCCCUGACUCCAUGACCAGUUAGCAUUUGGGGUAAUCCCUUCACAGUGAUAAAUACAAGCAACAGUGAAUGUGUUUUGCAAAAAAAAAAAAUCUUAAAUUUCAAUUUGACAGCAUAAUAAUAUACUGUGGGAAUUAAAAUGACUGUGUUAAAAUAGAUUAUAAAUAGUCUGAAAGAUUAUAUAAAAGUAUUUUGAAGAAAUGGAGAUUUUUCUCUUUAUUGUAGCAUAAGUUAAUAUGUUGAUUAAUUCUUUUUGGCAGGUGGGUGAAUCAGUCAGUAUCAGAUGAUAACUGGGUUUAAGGAAAAUAAGUGUGGAGUCAUACUUGCUUAAAAGAGAUAUACUUAGUCGAAAGGUUACAUUGCUUAAACAGAAAAAUCCAUGAAGAGGUAAUAAUAUCAGAUUUUCUUCUUAGAAACCAUGAAAUUAGAAAUGACUGCAUUAAUACUGGAGGGGGGCGGGGGACACAUAUCACAAAAUCUGGUACAGUUCAUCGAAAGACAAUUCCAAAAGCUGAAAGCAUUAUAAAAUAUAAUUACUAAAAGCAUUAUAAAAUAGUAUUAUUAUGUGAAGCAAGAAGAUAUAUUUGUAUGAAAUUUUGCAAAAAACUUCAAGUUUAAGGUUUUUGCUCGUGUUUGAAUUUGUAUCCUUGAAGUCAAUGUUGUGAAAAACAGCAGGAGUUCUGCAGAGGCUCCUGGAAAUGGGGAAUGUGCGUGGCAGCCUUCAAUUUUCUACCAAGGGGUGAUUUCAUUUCAGAACUGGGUCAGGAGUUUAAAAAAAAGUGGGGAAAAAACUUAGAAAGCAGUGCUGGCUUUCAGUGGUCACUUGUGUAAACGUCUACAUCUUUGCAGUUUGAAUUGGUCAGUGGCAACCUCCCCCUGAUCUGAGGUGGAAGAGGGAAGGCCCUUAUAUGGCGAUGCAGGCAGACCACAGCUGGGCUCGAACCCGGGGUCAGAAGUGUUUACGACAGGAUAACCCAGACACGUGUGGAGAGCCCAGACCGCAGCCGUGUGGGGGCCCCGGAGACUUGGCUUAAGCCAGGACCAGAGGACGGGGCGUGGGGGAAGUGCCAGCAGGGUCACACAAGUCUCACGUUCCCUCCCAGGACCACUAGGUAAUAAUUACUCCGGAGGAAAAGAUGACACAGGCUUUAUCAGAGCCCUUUGCUAAGAUCGCCCGCCUGUGUCCUGUCUGCCUCACCCACUCUGCUCAGAUUCCUUGGAGGCAAAGACCCUGGAGUUUCCCUUUGUGUCAACAACACCUUUGCAGUCCAAAAAUAUUUGAAUGAUUUGCAAGGAUUUAAUCAUCUACCAAGUUACUGCCUACAGGAUAGGAAUCUAUUUUCCAGUUGCACGUAGUCAGUCGUCGGCCCUCAGGAGAGAGAGCUGCGCACUGAGGAGCCUCUCUGGGGAGAAGACAACCAGGCUCCUGCCCCUAAAUUCUCCGCCUUCUCACUCGUGUCCCUGCGCCAGGAGCUCCUGUUGCUGAGUCCCUUAGUCGUGUCCAACUCUCUGCGGCCCGCCAGGAUCCUCUGUCCGCAGGAUUCUCCAGAUAGAUUUCACGAUGACAAAAAAAGAAGAAAGACUCGCGGGUCAACCACGGAGGAUGCUAGGGAACUGUGACAUAAGGAGAAAUGGGUAUGAACAUGAAUUCAAAAGACCAAACAUUUCAAACCAAACAGCAAAGCCAUUUGAAGGCAGCCUCCUGGUGGGCAGCGCCUCGUGCCCUGGGGUCACUUCUCAAAUCAAGGUGAAAGGUGAAGUCUACGUGGAGACGGGAGGAAGGUGAAAGGCCCUUCGCCAGCAUCCCUGGUAGGCAACCAUCCGCUCUCUCUAUGGGAGCGCCUCCAGUAGCUGGAAAUCUCAGCCACAUUCCGCGUUUGGCAGGUGGGUAUGAAGUUACUGCCGCAUCUCCCAGGACAGUGUUCUCACCCCCAGAGGCCCUGACUCCUGCCUGGGGUCCGGGGAGGCUGCGGGGACAGCCCUCCGGUCAGACCAUGUCAGCACCUGGGGGCAGGCAAGGCGAGCGGCUGGGGCUUUUCCGUGGAUGCCGUGGGGCCCUGCUGGGCUGAAAGUGUGAUUUCAGUGGUUAGAAAGUGAGAGCAUGUGCUAAUAUAUUUAAAACUGGUUCUGAAACCACUCUCUUAAGAAUGAACUUAAGCUUGCUGGGGGGAAGGGAUAGUUAGGGAGCUGGGGAUGGACGUGUCCACACUGCCGUAUUUAAAAUGAGAUAACCAGCAAGGACCUAGUGUUGACCACAGGGAACUCACCCCGUGUCAUGUGGCAGGCUGGAUGGGAGGGGAGUUUGGGGGAGCAUGGAUACAUGUGUAUGUAUG